GAUGAACGCUGGCGGCGUGCCUAAUACAUGCAAGUCGAGCGAACAGACGAGGAGCUUGCUCCUCUGACGUUAGCGGCGGACGGGUGAGUAACACGUGGAUAACCUACCUAUAAGACUGGGAUAACUUCGGGAAACCGGAGCUAAUACCGGAUAAUAUAUUGAACCGCAUGGUUCAAUAGUGAAAGACGGUUUUGCUGUCACUUAUAGAUGGAUCCGCGCCGCAUUAGCUAGUUGGUAAGGUAACGGCUUACCAAGGCAACGAUGCGUAGCCGACCUGAGAGGGUGAUCGGCCACACUGGAACUGAGACACGGUCCAGACUCCUACGGGAGGCAGCAGUAGGGAAUCUUCCGCAACGGGCGAAAGCCUGACGGAGCAACGCCGCGUGCGUGAUGAAGGUCUUCGGAUCGUAAAACUCUGUUAUUAGGGAAGAACAAAUGUGUAAGUAACUAUGCACGUCUUGACGGUACCUAAUCAGAAAGCCACGGCUAACUACGUG
Molecule: ribosomal RNA, 497 nt
Filed under: uncultured bacterium
Lineage: Bacteria
Description: partial 16S ribosomal RNA
Rfam family: Bacterial small subunit ribosomal RNA
Source: RNAcentral